Non-coding RNA from Glutinoglossum americanum, 96 nucleotides. The record is from the annotation of a GenBank genome assembly. Lineage: Eukaryota; Fungi; Ascomycota; Geoglossomycetes; Geoglossales; Geoglossaceae.
GUCAACAUGGCGGAGUGGUUAACGCGAUCGCCUGCUAUUCAAGCGAAUUGUGAGCGGUUUCCCUUGGGAGCGUAGGUUCGAGUCCUACUGUUGACG